GAUGAACGCUGGCGGCGUGCCUAACACAUGCAAGUCGAACGAAGCGACUGGAGGAAGUUUUCGGAUGGAAUCCGGUUGACUGAGUGGCGGACGGGUGAGUAACGCGUGGAUAACCUGCCUCACACUGGGGGAUAACAGUUAGAAAUGGCUGCUAAUACCGCAUAAGCGCACAGUACCGCAUGGUACGGUGUGAAAAACCCAGGUGGUGUGAGAUGGAUCCGCGUCUGAUUAGGUAGUUGGUGAGGUAACGGCCCACCAAGCCGACGAUCAGUAGCCGACCUGAGAGGGAGACUCCCCCGCACUGGUACUGAGACACGGACCAG
This 323-nucleotide ribosomal RNA is filed under the name uncultured bacterium. Its description in RNAcentral is "bacterial SSU rRNA". It matches the Rfam family "Bacterial small subunit ribosomal RNA", at positions 28 to 334 of the family's 1533-position model. The record is from RNAcentral.